CAAUGCAAGUCGAGCGAGAAGGUGUAGCAAUACACUUGUAAAGCGGCGAACGGGUGAGGAAUACAUGGGUAAUCUACCAUCGAGUGGGGUAUAACCAGCCGAAAGGUUGGCUAAUACCGCGUACGCCUCCGAAUCUUCGGGUUCGGAGGGAAAGCCACACUGUGAGUGCGGCGCUCUUUGAUGAGCUCAUGUCCUAUCAGCUUGUUGGUAGGGUAACGGCCUACCAAGGCUUUGACGGGUAGCUGGUCUGAGAGGACGAUCAGCCACACUGGCACUGCGACACGGGCCAGACUCCUACGGGAGGCAGCAGUAAGGAAUAUUGCGCAAUGGGCGAAAGCCUGACGCAGCGACGCCGCGUGGGGGAUGAAGGUCUUCGGAUUGUAAACCCCUUUCGGGAGCGAAGAUGGAGCGAGCAAUCGUUCGGACGGUACCUCCAGAAGCAGCCACGGCCAACUUCGUGCCAGCAGCCGCGGUAAUACGAAGGUGGCAAGCGUUGUUCGGAUUCACUGGGCGUACAGGGUGUGUAGGCGGUUUGGUAAGCCUUCUGUUAAAGCUUCGGGCCCAACCCGGAAAGCGCAGAGGGUACUGCCAGGCUAGAGGGUGGGAGAGGAGCGCGGAAUUCCCGGUGUAGCGGUGAAAUGCGUAGAGAUCGGGAGGAAGGCCGGUGGCGAAGGCGGCGCUCUGGAACAUACCUGACGCUGAGACACGAAAGCGUGGGGAGCAAACAGGAUUAGAUACCCUAUAGUCCACGCCCUAAACUAUGGAUACUAAGUGUCGGCGGGUUACCGCCGGUGCCGCAGCUAACGCAUUAAGUAUCCCGCCUGGGAGUACGCCGCAAGUGAAACUCAAAGGAAUUGACGGGGCCCGCACAGCGUGAGCAUGUGUUAUUCGACGCAACGCGAAAACCUUACUCAG
This 915-nucleotide ribosomal RNA is filed under the name uncultured Nitrospira sp. Its description in RNAcentral is "bacterial SSU rRNA". It matches the Rfam family "Bacterial small subunit ribosomal RNA", at positions 54 to 978 of the family's 1533-position model. The record is from RNAcentral. Lineage: Bacteria; Pseudomonadati; Nitrospirota; Nitrospiria; Nitrospirales; Nitrospiraceae.